RNAcentral lists this ribosomal RNA (253 nucleotides) under uncultured bacterium. Its description in RNAcentral is "partial 16S ribosomal RNA". It matches the Rfam family "Bacterial small subunit ribosomal RNA", at positions 524 to 776 of the family's 1533-position model. The record is from RNAcentral.
UACGAAGGUCCCAAGCGUUGUUCGGAUUUACUGGGCGUAAAGGGCGCGUAGGCGGCGCGGUAAGUCACUUGUGAAAUCUCUGAGCUUAACUCAGAACGGCCAAGUGAUACUGCAGUGCUAGAGUGCAGAAGGGGCAAUCGGAAUUCUUGGUGUAGCGGUGAAAUGCGUAGAUAUCAAGAGGAACACCUGAGGUGAAGACGGGUUGCUGGGCUGACACUGACGCUGAGGCGCGAAAGCCAGGGGAGCAAACGGG